Nylanderia fulva is the source of this 862-nucleotide non-coding RNA. The record is from RefSeq and is a predicted model, not a curated record. Lineage: Eukaryota; Metazoa; Arthropoda; Insecta; Hymenoptera; Formicidae.
CAAUGUUCGAAUAGUCAGCCGAUCCGCGACGAGGGUAAAUAUUAAUUAGCAGCUAUGAUUAGCAUCGUUAAUUAUCGUAUAAAUCCAAUCGCGUCGCGUGUCCCGACAUCGUGAUCGCGAUCGCACGUGCGAGAUUGAUUUCGUGAUCGUGAUCGCACGCGCGAAAUUGACUUGUCGCUCACGAAUCUCGCUCGACUUUCCUUCGUCCUUCGCGUCCCUCGCGUGACGUCACAGCUCCCCCUUGAAAAUUCGCGCGCUUGAGUUAUCGAGGACGGAUCGCGAGAGUCACUGGGCGCUUAUGACGCCGAAAUUUUUCGUGUUUUUCGGCUUCGUCGGGGUCGUAUUUCCGGUCAUCGCGGGCGAUCGCGCAUUUCCUGUCGUAUUUUCGUAUCAUUGUGUCGAAGUAUCGUAUAUUAGGUUCGUAAUUCUCAUAAAAAUUGCAGGUCGUAACCAAUAACACGGUUGCGCUGCCAUUUGCUAUAUUUUCAUAUCGAAGGUUCCUCUUUAAAACUUCCUCGUGAAUCGGAAACUUCCUCGUCGAGUCGGAACUCCCGAGUGCGUCGCGAGGGAGCUCGUCAUCGUCGUCCUCGAAUUAAUUAGCUCUCGCGUUUUAUCGGAAGAUUGUCGAAGAUUGUGAUAGCUAAGACCCGGGUGUCGUGAACAAAAAGUAACGCGAGUGUACGUGUUUCGAAGCUUCUACGAGGAGGCCCGGGGUGGCAUCGGGCAACGGCGGAGCAACUGUACGGAACAAGGAGGAAUCAGGAGGAAUGGAAGAAAAGAGAGGAGAAAAGGAGUAUCAUCCAGUAACAGCAGAACAACAUAUAUAUUUAUGUUUACAAUUCUGUUGCUGCGCAUCGUUUUG